This 509-nucleotide ribosomal RNA is filed under the name uncultured Symbiodinium. RNAcentral's name for it is "partial Bacterial large subunit ribosomal RNA". It matches the Rfam family "Bacterial large subunit ribosomal RNA", at positions 3 to 526 of the family's 2925-position model. The record is from RNAcentral. Lineage: Eukaryota; Dinophyceae; Suessiales; Symbiodiniaceae.
UUAAGUAAUGAAGGGCGCACGGUGGAUGCCUUGGCACCAAGAGCCGAUGAAGGACGGAACCAACACCGAUAUGCUCUGGGGAGCUGUAAGUAAGCGUUGAACCAGAGAUUUCCGAAUGGGGGAACCCCGCACAUUAGUGCGACUGUCCGGUGAAUACAUAGCCGGACAGAGGUAGACCCGGGGAACUGAAACAUCUUAGUACCCGGAGGAAGAGAAAGAAAAAUCGAUUCCCUGAGUAGCGGCGAGCGAAACGGGAAGAGCCCAAACCAGUCUUUGACUGGGGUUGUAGGACACCGAUGAGACCAAACAUCGCGAGCAGAACGGUCUGGAAAGGCCGGCCAUAGGGGGUAACAGUCCCGUAUGCGAAGCGAUGGGCGGUUGCGGUGGAUCCUGAGUACGGCGGAACACGAGGAAUUCCGUCGGAAUCUGGGAGGACCAUCUCCCAAGGCUAAAUACUCCUUGGUGACCGAUAGUGAACCAGUACCGUGAGGGAAAGGUGAAAAGCACCC